Molecule: small nuclear RNA, 102 nt
Filed under: Prunus persica (peach)
Lineage: Eukaryota; Viridiplantae; Streptophyta; Magnoliopsida; Rosales; Rosaceae
Source: RNAcentral
GUCCCUUCAGGACAUCUGAUAAAAUUGGAAUGAUACAGAGAAGAUUAGCAUGGCCCCUGCGCAAGGAUGACACUCAUAAAUUGAGAAAUGGUCCAAGUUUUU